RNA transcript from Symphalangus syndactylus (siamang), 9082 nucleotides. It is a transcript of the gene named cleavage and polyadenylation specific factor 4 like, with no coding region annotated. The record is from RefSeq and is a predicted model, not a curated record. NCBI's taxonomy places the organism in Eukaryota, Metazoa, Chordata, Mammalia, Primates, Hylobatidae.
CCUCUCCCCUGCGCACCCACAGAGAAGAGAUGGGAUUUCAUCAUGUUGGCUAGGCUGAUCUCAAACUCCUGACCAGGUGAUCCGCCCGCCUCGGCCUCCCAAAGUGCUGAGAUUACAGGGGAAGCACCUAGAGGUGAAAGAACCGGCCCACUCCACAGGUCUAGGAAACGGAGGAGCUGGACAUGAAAUGACAAGGUAGGGCCGGUGGCCUGGCUUGGCCAAGCAGCACAGAGACCGGGCUAUCAGCCUCGCAGAGUGGGGUGUGCCCAUCUCCCACGGGGCUGUGUGCCCAAGGGAAGUGUCAGGGGAGGCACUGGCUGCUCCUGCCCCCUUCAGCUGCAGCUGCUGGUUCCCAUAGGUCAGCCCCGCCCACCAGGCAGCCAAGGCCCUGCCCUUCCCAGGGUUGCUCUGCCUGGCCUCCUGGCUCUGCUGGGCAGAACCAGGGCCUUGGUUUGGACUCCUUGCCUCUCAUGCCUGCAGCCUCAGGCCUGUGCUCCUGCUGGCAUCCAGGCUACUCCUGCGUGGUGUCCAUAUUUGACCCCAGAGUUACACACGCCCAGCCACUCCUCCUCUCUCCACCAAGGUGGCACCACAUUCCCAGAAGAAAGUGGACCAAAGGGACAGAGGCUGUCAGGACACAUGAAUGCAGCAAGGGAUUCUCAGGAUCCUCAAAGUUUAGGAUCUAGUUUCCUCUCCCUGAUCAUUUUAUUUUACUUUAUUUAUUUAUUUUAUUUUAUUUAGACGGAGUCUUGCUCUGUCACCCAGGCUGGAAUGCAGUGGCAUGAUCUCGGCUCACUGCAGGUUCAAGCGAUUCUCCUGCCUCAGCCUCCCGAGUAGCUGGGACUACAGGUGCCUGCCACCACACCUGGCUAAUUUUUGUAUUUUUAGUAGAUAUGGGGUUUCACCGUGUUAGCCAGGCUGGUCUUGAACUCCUGACCUCAAGUGAUCCGCCCGCCUUGGCCUCCCAAAGUGCUGAGAUUAUAGGCAUGAGCCAUCGUGCCUGGCCCCUGCUCAUUUUAGAGACAGGAAGACUGAGGCUGGGAGGACAAGAGAUUGGCCAAAGUCCGGUGAGUAGAGCAGAGCAGAGCAGGUGGAAUUCUCUGGGCUGGCCUGGGUGCUGUGGCUUGGGAGGUGAGGGACGGGUUGAGGGAUGGUGUGAGCAGCAGACUGUGUGCAGACCUGGGAGUCGUAUAGCUGCAGGGGUGGCUGGAAGAUCCCCGAACGCAGGGCAGGUUGGAGGGGUGGGAAUUUCCAGGUGUGUGUGGCACUCCCCACCCCUGCCUGGCUCCCCUCGACCCUCAUAUGACAGACGUCCCAAGGCCCCCACUCCCUCCACACUUGGGCAGGUGCCCUUCCUGGCCACCCUUCACCUGCAGCACUUAACAUGUACACAAUCUUUCCCUGAGCCCGGAGGGCCCUGAUUUAAGAUGCCAGAAAGAAAAGUUAGGAAUGAAAAUGGGAGACCUUAUCUUUAUUCUUCCCCUUUCCGAUCUCCUCUGGGCCCCCUGGCUUACUGCCAACAGACAGAUGGGAGACUGGGAAGAAUAUUUUGGUGGGAGGGAGUGGUGCUUGCAGACAGAUGGAUGCUAGCUCUGCCUCUGAAACCUGUUGCUCUGACCUACUGAGCUGCCGUUCUCCACGGAGACUCCCAGGAGAGAUAGGAGGAGCCAAGGAUAGCUGCCUUCCCUGGCCAGAAUCCAACCCUAAAUGACACUUGGCAUGUUAAAAAAUACUUGUCAAGGCCACAGGGUUCUGAUGAAUCUUGUUUUCUUUUUCUGCCCUGCUUUCUUCCAAAAAGGAUUAGCGGCAGCUUACAAAAAUUCAUAAAAUACAAUAGGAUAAAAAUAGAUCAGAGAGAAAACAACACUGGAACACAUGGUACAAUGAACCAAGAGGGUAGGACACAGAAAUGUUCUUUGGCUGGGCCUCCACAAUCCUCAAAGGUGGGCUGCAAACAGGAUUCUGAGCUUCCUAUCAGUCAAAACAAAGAGGGGAAUCUGCCGGUUUUGAGACUCACAGAGUCCACAAGAUUAAGACCAACCCCGGCCGGGUGCAGUGGCUCAUGCCUGUAAUCCUAGCACGCUAGGAGACCAAGGUGGGUGGAUCACAUUAGGCCAGGAGUUCGAGACCAGCCUGGUCAAUAUGGUGAAACUCCGCUUAAAAUUAGCUGGGCAUGGUGGCAGACACCUGUAAUCCCAGCUACUCGGGAGACUGAGGCAGGGGACUCACCGAAGCCUGGGAGGUGGAAUUUGCAGUGAGCUGAGAUUGUGCCACUGCACUCCAGCCUGGGCAACAGAGCAAGAUUCUGACUCAAUUAAAAAACAAAACAAAACACUCAACCUAGAAGCAGUGCAGCUAUUUCUGACACUAAAGUCUGAGAGGAAUUCUCAUGGGACCUUUGACGGGAUGAGGUGUAGUGUCCCAAGCAACACCGUCAACAACAGUCCUUUUUUGUUUUAGAGGCAGGGUCACUCAGUCUUGCUGUCUCCCAGGCUGGAGUGCAGUGGCAUGAUCUCAGCUCACUGCAACCUCCGCCUCCUGGAUUCAAGUGAUUCUCCUGCCUCAGCCUCCCGAGUAGCUGGGACUACAGGCUCACGCCACCACACCUGGCUAUGUUUUGUAUUUCUUGGUGGAGACGGGGUUUCACUGUGUUGGCUGGGCUGGUCUCAAAUUCCUCACCUCAAGUGAUCUGCCUGCCUCAGCCUUCCAAAGUGCUGGGAUUACAGGUGUGAGCCACCAUGCCUGGCAAAUUUUUGUUGUUUAUAAGCCACUCAGAUUGUGGUAUAUUGUUUAUAGCACCCCAAAUGGACUAAGUAAGACACAGAUACAGUCACACAAACCCUAUCAGCUGCUUUCUACAGAGUUACUCAGGAUAAACCGAGGCCUGAUGCUAAGGCACAGAACAGUAAAACCCACUCUAUGGAGGGCCAGACCCGCACGAUCCAAGAGACACAAUUUAGAUUCUCCCAGAGAAGGGCUUCUCAACCCAACACUAUUGAUAUUUGGGGCUGGCUCAUUCAUUGUUAUUGGGGACUGACCUGUGCACUGUAGUGUGUUUGCAGCAUCCCUGGCCUCUACCUGGUAGAUGCCAAGCACUCCCUCAAAUUGUGACAGUUAAAAAUGUCCUCAGACCGGGCUCGGUGGCUCAUGCCUGUAAUCCCAGCACUUUGGGAGGCCAAGGCAGUUGGAUCACUUGAGCCCAGGAGUUUAAGACCAGGAGUUCAAGACCUGGCCAACAUGGUGAAACCAGGUCUCUACAAAACAUAUAAAAAAUUAGCCAGGUGCGGUUGUGCCCACCUAGUGCUCCCAGCUACUGGGGAGGCUGAGGUGGGAGGAUGGCUUAAGCCCAGGAGGUUGAGGCUGCAGUAAGCCGUGCUCACACCACUGCACUCCAGCCUUGGCAACAGGGUGAGACCCUGUCUCAAAACAAAAAAGUCCCCUGACAUUGCCAAAUGCCCUAUUAGGGGCUGAAAACCGCUGCUCUUAAAGGAGGAGUGAGCCACUUUCUGAAAAGGUUGGUGCAAAAGUGAUUGAGGGUCGUGCACGGUGGCUCACGCCUGUAAUCCCAGCACUUCGGGAGGCCAAGGAGGGCGGAUCACUUGAGGUCAGGAGUUCAAGACCAGCCUGGCCAACAUGGCAAAACCCUGUCUCUACUAAAAAUACAAAAAUUAGCUGGGCAUGGAGGCGCAAACCUGUAACCACAGCUACUUGGGAGGCUGACGCAGGAGAAUUGCUUGAACCCGGGAGGCGGAGGUUGCAAUGAGCCAAGGUCAUGCCACUGCACUCCAGGCUCUGCCUCAAAAAAAAAGAGAAAAAAGAUGUAAUUGCAUUUUUUGUCAUUAAAAGUACUGGCAAAAUAUAAAGACCAAUUUAAGACAAAUAAAAGUGUUUUCAGGGCCGGGCAUGGUGGCUCAUGCUUGUAAUCCCAGCACUUUGGGAGGCUGAGGCAGGCGGAUCACAAGGUCAGGAGUUUGAGACCAGCCUGACCAACAUGGUGAAACCCUGUCUCUACUAAAAAUACAAAAAUUCGCUGGAAGUGGUGGUGUGUGCCUGUAAUCCCAGCUACUCAUGAGGCUGAGGCAGGAGAAUCAGUUGAACCCAGGAGGCAGAGGUUGCAGUGAGCCGAGGUCGCGCCACUGCACUCCAGCCUGGGCAGCAGAGUGAGACUCUAUCUCAAAAAAAAAAAAAAGAUUUAUGCAGUCCCUUGAGGAAAAAUGUAUAUACUUACAUGUUUUAAUUGCCUACCGGAUUGAGAAAAUCGGCACUUCCUAUUAGCCAGUAAAAUGUUUCUAUGUGGGUAUACUUGAGAAGUGGCUGUACCAAGGCAGCUUUCUAAUUUUUCAUCCUGAAGUCAGAUUGAGGAUUGUAUUGAGAAGGUGGCACGGGCCAGAGGGCUUCUCCUUGCAGAUCGAGAGCAGUGAGAGGACUGUGUCAUCUCCUGGCCGACUUGAAGACAAUCCUGCAUCAAUAUCAUUUCUCACAACUGUGGUUCUUCCCCAACCCUCCACCAAAUCCAGGUUGACUGCAAAGAGUUUGCUGUUGUAUUCUCUGAAAAAAAGAAAACUAUAGUGCAGAUUCCUUUAUUCAUCAGAUAUGUACUGAGCCCCUGCCAUGCUCCAAGCACUCUGGGACGUGUUGGGAGGUAUAACAGUAGGCAAAGCCAACACAGUCCCAGGGUGGCACUAUAACUUGUGUGGACCCCUUCCUCCAUAAAAAUUGUGAAAAUUAUAUUUAUGACUCUGUUGCUAUAAACCUACAGGUUUGCAUAUUUUCUUCUGAUUUUUUUUUUUUUUUUUUUUUUUUGAGAGGGAGUCUCGCUCUGUCACCCAGCCAGGCUGGAGUGCAGUGGUACAAUCUCAGCUCACUGCAACCUCUGUCUCCUGGGUUCAAGCGAUUCUCCUGCCUCAGCCUCCCGAGUAGCUGGGAUUAUAGGUGCGUGCCACCAUGCAGGGCUAAUUUUUGUAUUUUGGUAGAGACAGGGUUUCACCAUGUUGGUCAGGCUGGUCUCGAACUCCUGACCUCGUCAUCUACCCGCCUCGGCCUCCCAGAGUGCUGGGAUUGCAGGUGUGAGCCACCGCGCCCAGCUAUUUUCUUCUGAUUUUAAAAGAAAUUAAAACACGUUUGUGGGCCCCUAAAAGGGCAGAGGGCCCUGGCACUGUGUCUACUGAACUGUUGCCAAAGUCACCCGGAUGGGCCUUGGCCUUAAGGCUUUGGGUUGGAGGGUUUGGGAAACAGACACCCAACAAGCAAGAAGAUAAGUAAAAGCAGCAAACACGGUACUGAUUUGAUGGAAACACACAUCUAGAUGCUGGGAGGGAGAGUAACGCUUGGAGGGAGAAUAACCUGGGCCUCACUUUGGAUAAGGUCAUUGGGGGCUGGGUGUGGUGGCUCACGCCUGUAAUGCCAGCAUCUUGGGAGGCCAAGGUAGGAGGAUCGCUUGAGCCCAGGAGUUUGGGCAACAUAGUGAGACUCCAUUUCUACAAAAAAUAAGCUAGCUGGGCAUGGUGGUGCAUUCCUGUAGCCCCCGCUACUUAGGAGGCUGAGGUGGGAGGAUCACUUGAGCCCAGAAGUCGAGGCUGCAGUGAGCCAUGAUCGUACCACUGUACUCCAGCCUGGGGUACAGAGUGAGACCCUGUCUCAGAGGUCAUGGGGGAUAGGUGCUCCCUGAAAAAGUGGCAUUUAAAUCAGACAGAGGAUGAGGAGUCUGGGAGGUGAAGGGUGGGGACAAGCAUGUUUAGAGAAUCAAAGAUUCACCUAGCUUUUGGCCUGAGCGUCUGGGCAGUUUCACUCUUUCUGAGCAGGAAAGACUGAGGGAAGAAUGGAUUCGGGGUAGUUCGAGUUUGAUCUCAGAUACACGGAAGCCGAUUCAAAUGGAAAUGGCAAGCUGUUGUGAAGCGAGUGUUAUGGACCAAAUGUUUGUGUCCUCUCAAAAGUCACACAUGGAAGCCUUAAUCCCAAUGUGAUGGUAUUAGGACUUGGAGGUCUUUGGGAAGUGAUUAGGUUUAGGUGAGGUCCUGAGCGUGGAGACCCCAUGAUGGAAUCAGUGUCUUUGUAGAAAAGAAUGAGGCCAGCGUUCAGUCUCUCUCUCCUCACCUCAUAAGGACACAGCAAGAAGGUAGCCAUCUGCCAGCCAGUAAGAGAGCCCUCCCUGGGAACAAAACCUGCCAGCACCUUGAUCUUGGACUUCCUAGAACUAAGAGAAAUAAGGGUCUGUUGCUUUUUUUUUUUUUUUUUUUUUUUUUUUUUUUUUGAGACGGAGUCUCGCUCUGUCACCCAGGCUGGAGUGCGGUGGCGCGAUCUCGGCUCACUGCAAGCUCCGCCUCCCAGGUUCACGCCAUUCUCCUGCCUCAGCCUCUCCCAGUAGCUGGGACUACAGGCGCCCGCCACCACGCCCGGCUAAUUUUUUGUAUUUUUAGUAGAGACGGGGUUUCACCGUGGUCUCGAUCUCCUGACCUCGUGAUCCGCCCGCCUCGGCCUCCCAAAGUGCUGGGAUUACAAGCGUGAGCCACCGCGCCCGGCGUUUUUUUUUUUUUUUGGAGUUUCGCUCUGUUGCCCAGGCUGGAAUACAAUGGCACCAUCUCAACUCACUGCAACCUCCGCCUCCCAGGUUCAAGUGAUUCUCCUGCCUCAGCCUCCCAAGUAGCUGGGAUUACAGACAUAGGACAAUAUGCCCGGCUAAUUUAUGCAUUUUUAGUAGAGAUGGGGUUUCGCCAUGUUGGCAGGGCUGGUCUCGAACUCCUGAUCUCAGGUGAUCCACCUGCCCCAGCCUCCCAAAGUGCUGGGAUUACAGGUGUGAGCCACUUCGCCCAGACAAACGUCUGUUGUUUAAAUCACUCUCUACAGUAUUUUGUUACAGCAGCCCGAGCUGACUAAGACAAGGGGCAACUGUCUCCUUGUCUGCAGAAAACACAUCCAGGAGUGGGAGCCGUCAGGUGAGAACAUGGAAUUCAAAGCCCCACCAAGAGGAGAGAGCAAAGACAGCGCUGAGUCAGCGGCCGGGCUUGGUGGCUCACGCCUGUAAUCCCAGUACUUUGAGAGGCUGAGGCGGGUGGAUCACGAGGUCAGGAGAUCGAGACCAUCCUGGCUAAUACAGUGAAAUCCCGUCUCUACUAAAAAUACAAAAAAUUAGCCGGGCAUGGUGGCAGGCGCCUGUAGUCCCAGCUACUCGGGAGGCUGAGGCAGGAGAAUGGCGUGAACCCGGGAGGCAGAGUUUGCCGUGAGCCGAGAUGGCGCCACUGCACUCCAGCCUGGGCGACAGAGAGAGACUCCGUCUCAAUAAAAAAAUAAAAAUAAAUUUAAAAAAGACAGCGCCGAGUCUGAUCAGCCCCCGACCGGAGGGAAGGUCAGGAUGUUGGUGGUGGGGGGGGCCUUGGUCCACCAUGCUCUACUGAGUCUCCCUCCAGCACCCCCUCCAGGGUCAGGGCAGUUUAUCCAGACGGGGAAUGAUUGGGGCCCGCGCUCUGCCUCCCACUCCCCCUGCCCAUGCUCACUGGGCUUUGUACACAGAGUGGGUACAAUUGACUCUUUGUCAAUAGUUGGGGCCUGGAGGGUUUUUCCAUCGUACUCUCUGUCCGCCUCAUGAGCCAAUAAUUAUUUAGAGAUAACAAACCGGAGGGCGAUCUGUGGUGAUGAAAAUAUAGUUUUUCUUCCAGACUCAAUUGACCCGAAGACAGAUCAAACUUGUGACCUUGAACCCACCAUCCAUCAAAGUGAGUGCCCCAGGCCACGGCUGGGAGAAUUAAUCCAACACAGUGUCCACCGUCAGCGGGCGGGUCCCUGCUCUAUAGAAACUUCCCUCACCCCUCCUCCCCAUGGGGGGUAGGGGGUCAUGCAUCUCCAGGGGAACACAGGACCAUCCGUUAGGGCAUAGGAAUAAAUGUUAAAACUUUGUUGAUAAUUGUGGUUUAUCUUGACCUGCAUUUUUCCUGUUUCAGAAAGUACAGAAUAAAGCAGGACUGGGGAAAGACACCUCCUUUCUUGGAGCUGCUUUACUUCUUUUUUUUUUUUUAAUUUUCCUUUUCUUUCUUUUUUUUUUUUUCGAGAUGGAGUUUUGCUCCUGUUGCCCCUGGCUGGAGUACAGUGGUGCAAUCUCAGCUCACUGCAACCUCCACCUCCCGGGUUCGACCGAUUCUCCUGCCUCAGCCUCCCGAGUAGCUGGGAUUACAGGCAUGCGCCACCACGCCUGGCUCAUUUUUGUAUUUUUAGUAGAGAUGGGGUUUCACCAUGUUGGUCAGGCUGUUCUCAAACUCCUGACCUCAGGUGAUCCGCUUGCCUUGGCCUCCCAAAGUGCUGGGAUUACAGGCAUGAGCCACUGUGCCUGGCCACUUCUUUCUUUUUUCUUUUGAGAUGGAGUCUCCCUCUGUGGCUCAGGCUGGAGUACAAUGGCACAAUCUUGGCUCACUGCAACACCCACCUCCCAGGUUCAAGUGAUUCUCCUGCCUCAGCUUCCCAAGUAGCUGGGAUUACAGGCACCCACUACCACACCCGGCUAAUUUUUGUAUUUUUAGUAGAGAUGGGGUUUCACCAUGUAGGCCAGGCUGGUCACAAACUCCUGACCUCAAGUGAUCCACCAGCCUCGGCCUCCCAAAGUGCUGGGAUUACAGGUGUGAGCCACCGCACCCGGCCUGGAGCUGCUUUUCAGCCAAUUCUAGACUCUGGCACUUGGCUGCCGGAUGUCCUUCUUUCAUGCCUUCUCCAGAGAGUGGCCCCAGGAAUUUGCAGCCAGAGGGCUCUUUCUAAAAUGCAAAUCUCGACCAGCGCAGUGGCUCACUGCGCUGGAGUAAUUCCAGAUCUUUGUAAUCCCAACCCUUUGGGAGGCCGAGGCAAGAGGAUCACUUGAGGUCAGGAGUUUGAGACCAGCCUGGCCAACAUGGUGAAACCUCGUCUCUGCUACAAAUACAAAAUUUAGCCGGGCGUGGUGAAGCACACCCAUAAGUCCAGCUAUUCAGGAGGCUGAGGCAGGAGAAUCGCUUGAACCCAGGAGGUGGAGGUUGCGGUGAGCAAGACUGUACCACCACACUCCAACCUGGAUGACAGAGACUCCAUCUCAAAAAUAAAAAAUAAAGUAAAAAUGCAAAUUUCA